RNAcentral lists this ribosomal RNA (253 nucleotides) under uncultured bacterium. RNAcentral's name for it is "partial 16S ribosomal RNA". It matches the Rfam family "Bacterial small subunit ribosomal RNA", at positions 524 to 776 of the family's 1533-position model. The record is from RNAcentral.
UACAGAGGUGGCAAGCGUUGUUCGGAAUUACUGGGCGUAAAGGGCGCGUAGGCGGUCUUGUCAGUCCCUUGUGAAAUCCCCCGGCUCAACUGGGGAACUGCACGGGAAACAGCAGGGCUUGAGUUCGGGAGAGGGAAGCGGAAUUCCGGGUGUAGCGGUGAAAUGCAUAGAUAUCCGGAGGAACACCGGUGGCGAAGGCGGCUUCCUGGACCGAUACUGACGCUGAGGCGCGAAAGCUAGGGGAGCAAACGGG